ACGUACACUCCUACGGGAGGCAGCAGUGGGGAAUAUUGCACAAUGGGCGCAAGCCUGAUGCAGCCAUGCCGCGUGUAUGAAGAAGGCCUUCGGGUUGUAAAGUACUUUCAGCGGGGAGGAAGGCGAUAAGGUUAAUAACCUUGUUGAUUGACGUUACCCGCAGAAGAAGCACCGGCUAACUCCGUGCCAGCAGCCGCGGUAAUACGGAGGGUGCAAGCGUUAAUCGGAAUUACUGGGCGUAAAGCGCACGCAGGCGGUCUGUCAAGUCGGAUGUGAAAUCCCCGGGCUCAACCUGGGAACUGCAUUCGAAACUGGCAGGCUAGAGUCUUGUAGAGGGGGGUAGAAUUCCAGGUGUAGCGGUGAAAUGCGUAGAGAUCUGGAGGAAUACCGGUGGCGAAGGCGGCCCCCUGGACAAAGACUGACGCUCAGGUGCGAAAGCGUGGGGAGCAAACAGGAUUAGAAACCCGGGUAGUCCCAUG
RNAcentral lists this ribosomal RNA (479 nucleotides) under uncultured organism. RNAcentral's name for it is "partial 16S ribosomal RNA". It matches the Rfam family "Bacterial small subunit ribosomal RNA", at positions 329 to 799 of the family's 1533-position model. The record is from RNAcentral.